UUGACGUCACCCGAUUGACAAGCGGGAAACACUUCAAAGUCUCGGUCUGAACACUGGUGCCACUUUGACCGGGUGGAUCGUGUCAAUAUUUUAUUGAAUUUUACUGCGAGACGAUAUCAUCUCUGCAUUUUGUGUUCGUGACAGGCCUUGUAAGUACAUAAUAAUUAUCUAAUGAGGUUUGUUUGUGUCGGCUACAUUAAUGUCCUAAAGGAUUAUGGCACUUUUAGGUUCAGCUAGGACAACACGCGCACACACACAGGUAUAGGGAAGAGGAAGGAUAGGGGCGGAGAGGGAUGGCCCGGACAGGUAUAGGAGACAGGGAUGAACAGGCUCAUCUAUCUAUUUUGCGGGGCGCACAUAAGAGAUUGUAGAGAGGAAGAAAGGAGUGGGGCGGGUGGGAGGAAGGUUUAAAUGCCUUGGGAAUCACCCUCUUGCGCCUCGCCACUGAGGGCAGGAACAUCACACUUCAAUGGGUGUCGUCACACUUCGGCAUUCGUACCAACGACAUUGCAGUCGCUGGUGCCAAGGUGGCCCUCACCGAUGUAAACAUUAUCCCCUCCCCACCCUCUCCCGCUCUCACCCGCUAAACUCAUCACAUUCUGAACCUGCCUCUCUGGCAGGAACAGACUCCUCAGCAAUGCCUUCUGCAUCACAUCCAUGGGCCAAUACCGCAGUGAUUCCUCCCCACACUCUUGGACAGAGAAAAAAAGUCCCGCGACUUGGAUGUUGCCCUCACCCCCUCCCCCCCUCGUCGCAUCGGUCUCAGCUCAACACUCACCCACACCGCUUCAACCUGUCCCCCGCCCCCACACUGCCCCUGGUGCCUCUUCGCCCCCGAGACCAUAGUACAUUCCCUGCCGCAGUGCCCGCCCCUCCACUCCCGCCGGGCCAUCCUAUCACAACUCCAAGCUCUAGGCGCGCACCACCUUUGACUUGUCCACCUACUGGCGGCAGCGGGCGUUGUCCGCUCCAAACGACCUCCGUCAUUCGCCUUACCUGUGCCUUCCUGAAGAAGACAGGAACUACCGCGUGUGUGAUAUCCCCAUGGGUGUCCGCCAGGGGUCAUUUCAUCCCCAUAGCAUCAUCGCAGACCCACCAAGACCAAGACCAAGCUGAUCCACGUGUCUUCAUCUGUCUGCCUCUCCACCUGUCCACCUGAGGAAUAGGAGCAGCCUCACCACCACCACCACCACCAUCACCAGUGACAGCUCCCUCACCAGGCAACCUGCAGCAAUGAACAACCCUGCUGAGUGUCGCAUCUGCUUCACCACCUUCAGUAAAGACGAGAACCACAGACCAAGGACCUUCCCCUGUGGUCACACAUUCUGUUCCUCCUGCAUUACUGGCCUACUGCGACAGGGCACCAUAGGACGCCUUACCUGCCCCACGUGUCGCGCCAAGCAUGUCGCGCCUAAUGCUGCACAAUUCCCCAUCAGCUAUGACAUGGAGGCUCUGAUUCAGCAGAUGAAAGGCCUUGCGGAGCAGCAGCAGGGCCCAGAGACCACAGAGAACCAGGAGGAGGAGACUGGUGAACCUCAGGAGACAGAGGUUGAGGCGAUGAGGGAGUGGGUGGUUAACGUGUUGUUCGAGUGCAGCACUGUGAUGACGCAGCUUGAACAGAGGCAGGACAAGUUAGAGAGACCACAGGCAAAGCACAUGUCUUUGCUGAACCAACUGUGUGAGAUGGUGGUGGACAACAAGAAGGCCAUGACACAGCUGACAAGGGCGCAGGGCAAGUAUCGAGGCCUGCUGGACGAGGGGCAGGGCAUUGCAUCUCACCUGCAGGCCAUGGUGGAUCAACUGGAGAACAGUGCGUCGGCGAGGGGAAGCAGAGCCAUAGUGAAUCUUGCAAACUCCCGGAUGCAGGUGGUGGAGAUGUGGAUGAAGAAGUGCAAGGAGAUGACUGCAAGUGAUACAACAGCUGCCUCUUCAGACGUGGUGCUGACGACCACACACGACAGACUCAAGCAAAUGGCAGAGAAUUUUGGCAAUGGUGAGGGCGGUGCUUGUAGUGGUGGUGAUGCAGGUGGUGGUGUGUCCUCCAGUCAGGUGACAUCUGUCUUGGAAAGGGCGCAACAUUCCCUGGAAGAGCUGCCCAGCCGUCCAUCCACUCUGACAACAGAGGACCUUCGCACCCUGAACGCUGACGUGAGGCGCCUGCUGGAGGGUCGUGUGGUGUUUGGGCUUCUCCAGGAUUCAGGGGCACCGCGCUGCUCCUCCCUCACACUGGAGAAUGGACGGCUGCACCUCUACCACCUGCAGGACCAACCGCCACCCUGCCACGCCCACACCAUCCAGAUGGCCAGCUACCUGUCCGCCCCACAUCCAUCCCUGCUGGUGUUCCUGGACCUGGCGUGGCGCGGCGAGGUGCAUGGUCGAGUUUACAUCCGUCUGAACUUGCUGGUGCCCCUGGCCAGACAGUUCCUGCUGCUGUGCUCUGGCCAGCAGGGACCCUCCUACGCUGGUACCUCCCUGCUGAAGAAGCCAAGCCGUUCAUGUGGGCACCGCGUGAGACCGUGAGAGCGACCAAGAGUGGACAGACAGACAGAGAGAGAGAGAGAGAGAGAGAGAGAGAGACGAGGAGAAUGAGGUGCUACUGGUGGACACAUAACAGCCUGGCGAGCAUAGGCGGCCGGGGCGGGGAGAGAGACCGCCUGGGAGCAGCUGGCGUGAAGGUGGCACAGGGCGUAGGUGACUGUCUGCAGCUCGUCAAGACCCAGGUGAUUAUCGUCAUACACCACUCGGUACUCAGUGGGUCUGGUGGUGCCACUGUCACUCUGCAGGGAAGGUGGCACCACUACCAGAUGAGAGGAGAGGAAGAAGCCCCUGAUGGAUGGAUGGAUGAUGUCGCCUUCUACCACAGUGCCAGGGGGAAUAUUACCUCCACCUCCGCCAGGCCCUCGGAACAGCCUGCAAUGCCACACAGGUCAGGUAAUGGGCGGCUGGUACUCCCCGUCAACCUGCAUGCCACUACAGGCCCUCCGGAUCUCUGUGGCCUCCCAUGCUGUGACGCGCUCCAGCUCCUCCUGCGGCAAGUCGAGGCGGUAGACUAGCAAACUCUGGGGCUUGGUGUGGUUUGUCUCAUAGUACCUCAGAAGCAACCGUCUGGAAUGGGGUAAGGAAGGUAAAGGUUAAGUGUGGGUCUGGUAGUUGGGGAUGCUGGGUCUGGUAGAUGGGGAUGCUGAAGAGGAGAGGAGAGGUGAAGUUACUGGAAAAUGAGAGGGUUGGGAGAGAAAGGGUUGAAAGAGAUGGUGAUGGUCUGGAAUAGGAAGUGUUUGGUGAGGGUACUGGGAAAAGAAUGUGUGUGUUUGGUGAGGGUACUGGGAAAGGAAUGCGUGUGUUUGUUGAGUGUACUGGGAAAAAAGAAUAGGUGCGUGUUUGUUGAGUGUACUGGGAAAGGAGAAAAAUAUCAAGUUUCCAUGCUGAGACUAAAUAAACCUGAAUGUAACAUGUUUAAACAGUGAAAAAAGAACUAAAUAAAACAGCUACCCAUACAAA
RNA transcript from Scylla paramamosain (green mud crab), 3498 nucleotides. RefSeq lists it as uncharacterized. The transcript has 11 exons. The record is from RefSeq and is a predicted model, not a curated record. Lineage: Eukaryota; Metazoa; Arthropoda; Malacostraca; Decapoda; Portunidae.